This 985-nucleotide long non-coding RNA is filed under the name Trifolium pratense (red clover). RNAcentral describes it as "long non-coding RNA (TPRA_LNC007980)". The record is from RNAcentral. Lineage: Eukaryota; Viridiplantae; Streptophyta; Magnoliopsida; Fabales; Fabaceae.
AUUUGGCCAAAUGCCAUCUAUUUAUGUCUGAUGAUUCAGCACUAUAGAUAACAAGUUUUUCUACUACUGAUUUGAUGACAGAUGAAGUUGAAAUGUUGCCUCUUCUUUGAGUUAUAUUAAGAUAUCAGUUGAAUUUAGAGAUGUCAAUCAACAGAAAGAAAAAACCAGUUGAAUUUGACUAAUUGGUUUUUAUUGGGAAAUCCAACCCCUUUAAUUAUUAGGAUGUUUUAUAUAUUGAAGUUAAUGAGACCAAAAUAGUUCAUAAGUUCUGACCAAUUGUUACGAAUAACCGAUCUGAGUCUCCUCCUAUCAUUGCUGUGAUUGUCCAUACCCAAAAUUGAAACUAGCUUCUUUCUGUUAAUAGUGCGAAGGCAAAAAUAUAAGUUUCUAAUGUUGGUGGUACACUGGUACAUAUACUGAGUUCUCUUUAUAAAGAGGAUAGCUUAGUCAAUCAUCAAAACAUAAGUCUUACUGUUUUGGUUUUCACAUCAUUUGGUAGUAUGACAGUAAAGUCCAUAUCAUGUCCGCCACGAAAAUAUCCAUAUCAGGUGACCUAUUUGUUUAUCAGUCGAUCUUGUAUUUCAUUUCAUUAGAGAAUGGGAGGUUGAGUUGGAUUAUUGCGCACUAUUAAUGGAGUGUGUUACUGCCAACAUAACGAGCUAGUUAGGUACUAUCAUCCAUUGCAUUUGCAUUUGCAUUAGCAUUAUUCAUAUAUAUUCUUCUUAUGCUGAUCGAUCGCGUUAUGUUUAAACAGAUGGAUAUUUCAGGUCACUUAUAUUUAGAUCCGUCAGAGGGGGUCUUAAUCUCACAUUUGUUUCUGAUUGCCUAAUUCAACCUAUACCUACAGCUCGUUGUUCUUGUCCUACAACAACACCACUACCACGUUACCGACCUUGGGAGGAACGAAUUAAGAUCUUUACUGAUCCCAAAUAUCUUGAAGAAGCCAAACUUGCCAUUGGCUACUAUGGUUCUAUAACACCCACUC